This 915-nucleotide ribosomal RNA is filed under the name uncultured Bacteroidota bacterium. RNAcentral describes it as "bacterial SSU rRNA". It matches the Rfam family "Bacterial small subunit ribosomal RNA", at positions 11 to 917 of the family's 1533-position model. The record is from RNAcentral. Lineage: Bacteria; Pseudomonadati; Bacteroidota.
CUUUGAUUAUGGCUCAGGAUGAACGCUAGCUACAGGCUUAACACAUGCAAGUCGAGGGGCAUCAGUUUGGUUUGCUUGCAAACCAAAGCUGGCGACCGGCGCACGGGUGAGUAACACGUAUCCAACCUGCCUCAUACUCGGGGAUAGCCUUUCGAAAGAAAGAUUAAUAUCCGAUAGCAUAUAUUUCCCGCAUGGGUUUUAUAUUAAAGAAAUUCGGUAUGAGAUGGGGAUGCGUUCCAUUAGUUUGUUGGGGGGGUAACGGCCCACCAAGACUACGAUGGAUAGGGGUUCUGAGAGGAAGGUCCCCCACAUUGGAACUGAGACACGGUCCAAACUCCUACGGGAGGCAGCAGUGAGGAAUAUUGGUCAAUGGACGCGAGUCUGAACCAGCCAAGUAGCGUGAAGGAUGACUGCCCUAUGGGUUGUAAACUUCUUUUAUAUGGGAAUAAAGUUGUCCACGUGUGGAUUUUUGUAUGUACCAUAUGAAUAAGGAUCGGUUAACUCCGUGCCAGCAGCCGCGGUAAUACGGAGGAUCCGAGCGUUAUCCGGAUUUAUUGGGUUUAAAGGGAGCGUAGGCGGAUUGUUAAGUCAGUUGUGAAAGUUUGCGGCUCAACCGUAAAAUUGCAGUUGAUACUGGCAGUCUUGAGUGCAGUAGAGGUGGGCGGAAUUCGUGGUGCAGCGGUGAAAUGCUUAGAUAUCACGAAGAACUCCGAUUGCGAGGGCAGCUCACUGGAGUGUAACUGACGCUGAUGCUCGAAAGUGUGGGUAUCAAACAGGAUUAGAUACCCUGGUAGUCCACACAGUAAACGAUGAAUACUCGCUGUUUGCGAUAUACAGUAAGCGGCCAAGCGAAAGCAUUAAGUAUUCCACCUGGGGAGUACGCCGGCAACGGUGCAACUCAAAUGAAUUGACGGA